UAACGCGAAGAACCUUACCAGGUCUUGACAUCCUCUGACAACCCUAGAGAUAGGGCUUCUCCUUCGGGGGCAGAGUGACAGGUGGUGCAUGGUUGUCGUCAGCUCGUGUCGUGAGAUGUUGGGUUAAGUCCCGCAACGAGCGCAACCCUUGAUCUCAGUUGCCAGCAUUCAGUUGGGCACUCUAAGGUGACUGCCGGUGACAAACCGAAGGAAGGUGGGGAUGACGUCAAAUCAUCAUGCCACUUAUGACCUGGGCUACACACGUGCUACAAUGGGCAGAACAAAGGGCAGCGAAGCCGCGAGGCUAAGCCAAUCCCACAAAUCUGUUCUCAGUUCGGAUCGCAGUCUGCAACUCGACUGCGUGAAGCUGGAAUCGCUAGUAAUCGCGGAUCAGCAUGCCGCGGUGAAUACGUUCCCGGGCCUUGUACACACCGA
This 435-nucleotide ribosomal RNA is filed under the name uncultured Bacillus sp. RNAcentral describes it as "bacterial SSU rRNA". It matches the Rfam family "Bacterial small subunit ribosomal RNA", at positions 957 to 1393 of the family's 1533-position model. Lineage: Bacteria; Bacillati; Bacillota; Bacilli; Caryophanales; Bacillaceae. The record is from RNAcentral.